UUAUUUUUAGCUGAAUUGUUCUAAUUUUGAAAAUUUGUUAUUAAACGGUGCGUUUUAGACUGCUGUGGCUGUGGUUGGGGACGAAGAGCUUCAUCUAGUGGCGAUGCCGAGUAAGCGGAAGAAGUUUCCGUGUUUUUGGUGUUAUGCUGUUCCGGUGAGACUUUAUGAUGCGUGCAUGGGGAUGUUGAAUUUGAGGUGUCUUGCGAUUGUGUUCGAUUUAGAUGAGACUUUGAUUGUUGCAAACACGAUGAAGUCGUUUGAAGAUAGGAUUGAGGCUUUGCGGAGUUGGCUUUCCAGGGAGAGUGAUCCAUCAAGGGUGCAGGGUAUGUCUGCUGAGCUCAAGCGUUACUUGGAGGAUAGGUUGCUGUUGAAGCAAUUCAUUGAGACUAAUUCCGUAGUUGAUAGUAAUGGAAAGCUGUAUCAGGUUCAGAUGGAGGAAGUGCCAUCUUUGACUGAACAGAAAGUCCUUCGCCCUGUUGUUAGGGUUCAAGAUAGGAAUAUUGUCCUUACUCGAAUCAAUCCCGAGGUUUAUAUUUCUAGUCUCUCUAAAGAAAAUUGUGUAUUCUGGUUAAUGGUUUUGAUUGAUGGAUGGAGUGUGAGUGGUGGUAAUUGGAGAUUGCUUGUUAACUAUUUAAGAUUGGGAGUAGAUAAAUUAUUAAAACUUAGUAUCGGUUCGUCUGAUAGAUUGUUAGGACUUAGAAUAUUGACACCAACCCAUCAACACUAAUAAUUUGAGAAAAUGCAAGUAAUUUAAUGUAACCACACGUGUCGAUGUUGUAUUGGUUUCAGACACUAGACACGUCUUUGAUCCGAAGUAAGCGUGAGUACUAAAUAGGUAAUGUUUAAUGACAAGAAAUGAAAAUAGAACUAGGUACUUGAGUCAAAUUAUCUAGAAUACAUUUUUUUCCCCGCAAAUACCCCCUUUCUUUAAUGUUAAUUCAUACUUACAAAUGGUUAUAUUUGAUCCAAAUGGCCAGAUUUCGAACUUGAGACUAAGUCUUUCUUCCCCCACCCCAAACACAAGAAGAAAAACCCUGUUCUUUUAAGGCUCCUCUUGCACUUGUUUUAGGGUCCAAGACCCAAUGCUGUCAAUUGCAAUAGCAUAUUGUUAAAAUUCCACUAUGCAAUAGUUUUAUAGCGCCACUAUAUAGCGGCUAUAAUAUUUUGUACUAAAUAACAUCGCGGAACAAUAGUGAUUUGUUCAAAAUCUGCGACGCUAUAGCGGCUAUUUAACAAUACCAAUAAGAUCAAUAUCAAUAUAGUCCUCUUUUCGGCAUCUUGUCUUUAGGAUGAUUGGGCAUUUAAGAGCUUUGACUUGUUUAUUUACUAUUGUAAUAUUUGCUUGUACGACGUUUUGACAUGUAGUAUCUUCAUAUGUGCUCAAAAUUAUUAAUGCCAUUGCUGCAAGAUAAAAGGACUAAUGUUAGUAUUUUUUGGAAUGAUAAAUGUCAGAAAGUUAGUAUUUAUGUUGUGGGUGGGAUCUACGGCAUUAGUUCUUAAUGAAUGUAUAUGCGAACAUAUUUACUUGGGUGGCCAUUUUUCAAAUCAUAUUCAUUUUAUUUAUUUUUCCAGUUGCUUAGCAUAGUUCUUCCCCUCCCUCCCCCAUCUCUUGAGAGUUAAUAGAAUAAAAUGGUAAAAUUGACCAAUUUUCUAUGAAAUUGUUUAAUGCAAUGUAUUAUGCAUUUAAUUGGUGAAGUUGUGUUUGGAAUAGUUUUGCUGUGCCUAUGAUUGAUUCCCAAUUAUUGUUUCUUCACAUAGAUUCGUGAUACUAGUGUACUAGUGAGGUUGCGGCCUGCUUGGGAGGAUUUACGAUGCUAUUUAACUGCAAGAGGACGCAAGCGGUUUGAAGUGUAUGUUUGUACUAUGGCUGAAAGGGAUUAUGCCUUGGAAAUGUGGAGGCUUCUUGACCCAGGGGCACAUCUUAUAGGUUCAAAGCAAGUCUUUGAUCGGGUUAUUUGUGUUAAAUCAGGUACAAUUCAUAUUAUUUCCUUAGUGUUUGUAACUUUGAUGUUUUUUAGAUGAUUUGAAGUUGAAUUGAACUUAAAUUGAAAUCUUAUCAACAUUUUGAAUACAAUUUUUUCUAUAGGGUAUUGUUGGUUUUUGUAACAAAUACAAGCUGUGUAAGUUUGUUGGUCUAGCUACCAUGUUUUAUUAUGUAAUGUUGUUAUUCUCAUAAUGGUUUAGUUUAUUCUUGUUGUUGUUCGUGUCCUUAUAGAGUAAUUUGCAGGUUCUCGAAAAUCUUUACUAAAUGUUUUUCACGAUGGUAUGUGCCAUCCAAAAAUGGCAAUGGUGAUUGAUGACCGUUCAAAGGUUUGGGAGGACAAGGACCAGCCAAGGGUUCAUGUGGUUCCUGCAUUUACUCCUUACUAUGCUCCUCAAGCAGAGGUACUGGCUUACAUAUAUUAUUUGCAAAAAAAUACAUCUUCUCUAACUAUUAUUGAUUGAUAAUUCAGUAUUGUUUUUUUUUUUCUUCCAUUAGACAGCCAAUGCUGUCCCAGUCCUAUGUGUAGCGAGAAAUGUUGCAUGCAAUGUCAGGGGUUGUUUUUUCAAGUAAGUUUAGCAAUCAAGUAUUUUAUUGGCUCAAAUAUUCUUCUCUUUAUGCCUUUAAUUUAUUGUCCAUGUGCUCAGAGAGUUUGAUGAGAACUUUUUACAAAGAAUUGCUGAAGUCUUCUUUGAAGAUGAGGUUGGAAGUUUGCCUCACCCUCCGGAUGUGAGCAGCUACUUGAUGUCUGAGGUAUUGGAUUGGAAUAGACGUGAUUCUUAAAUUCACUGAUGAUCAUUAACUCAUCUGUAGUUAUGUGUUAUCGUUUUGACACUGUAGAUUCUUGUUUAUCUGCUGGUUUAAUACUGGCUUAUCUACUGGAUGACAGGAGGUGCCAAAUGGUAAUGGACAAGCUAAUGCCCCCAUCAGUGAAGGAAUUGGCGGCACAGAGGUUGAGCGUAGGUUAAACCAACCUGUAAGUGCACGUCUGAUUCAACGUUGACAAUGGACAUUUAUGAACAAAUUAUGUUUUCUCGCAAAAUGGAAUUUAAUUUUUUGUUUGGUUUAUUGUUUCUUUUAGCCAAACUAGGGCUGGCUCCAAAGUUUGGUUGACAUGGUAGUAACAGGCUUGUUAAUUAGCAUUGUCCAAUCAAAUUUCAUUUUUACAAUAUGUUUUUAAAAAGUACCCAGACAUACUCAUGCCAUAGCAAAACCACUUUUUUGCAAAAUUUGGUGUAAUUAAGCUUAAGUUUGCAACUUCAAUUGAAACAGACUCAAAGUUUCCAUGUUUUUUGAAGUGUUACUUGCAAUCUCUUUUAUAGGAACAUUUUCUCAAACUUUCUAGCAAAUCUUGGUGGGGUAUUUCUUAUGUUGUGUGUAUGUGAUGAGUGUUCAAGCCCAUACUAUUUUAUGUGCGUGGAACAUUUGUAGAUAGUAAAAUAGUCCUAGCAUUUUUUAUAUGUUAUUCUUUUCAGGAUGAUAAGCUUUCUGCUGAUUUAGUCAGUCGGCCCAUGGCAAAUAGUGUUGAGUUCAGGCAUGAAACCUCUCAGUCAACUGCUGGCAUAGUUCCAAAUGUCACUGGUCCUGGAUCAUCAAGGCCCUUGAUUCCUUCUCAGAGUACUGGACAAUAUUUUAUGUUGUUUGGAUUUCCAUAUUGCAGUUUUGAAAGUUUAAGCUAUCUUUUAAUGUUUGUUACCUUUCCCAACCUUGUUUCAGAACCAGGUCUGCUGGGACCUCCAGUCAAACACGACGGAAGUUUUAUUGAUCGUGAUUAUGACAUGAAAAAAGGAAUAUUAAAUAUGAGGCAUAGUCCUGAUAUAAGAGGUCAAAGUUCAGCUGAACCCCCUCUGAUAUCGAGGCCACCUGUUCCUGCAUACGGAAGCUGGUUGGUAGAAGAUGAUAUAAGCAACAGAACUCAGACAAAUAAUUGGCCUUUUGCACCUGCUAAAGAAUCUAAUGUGGUAAAGUCUGAAAAGCAUCAGGCUCAACAAAAACAAUUUUCUCAUAAAAUGGAAGUUCCAGUUUCCAAUGUGCCACUCUCACAAACACCACAACUUAAGGCUGAAGAGGUUUGUAGAUGAAUGAUACGUGGCUUCCCAUUUCUGACAAUGAAAGUGUUGUUUUGAGUCCUGAACUUUCCUGUUCUGAAAAUGUUGUUUAUAUGCAGGCAACUUCUGUAUCUGAUUUUCGGAGGCAGAAUAUUCCAACUAAGUUGCAUUUAUCAGGUAUAACUUAAUACUUAUUUUCGUAACAUAUACUGUUAUUAACAUAUACUAAGUCUUGAAUCUUAUAUAAUACUGUUAUUAGCAACGACAAACUAAGUGAAUGUUAAUAGAGUAAUGGGUCAUGGGUGGUUUACUUUGGCUUUAAGAUAGAUUUACAUGAUUAUUUAAUGGGUUUGGCCUAGGAAUUAGUGAAGUUUAGAUGUAUUUUUAAAAAAACUCAAGUGCUAAAUCUGAAACAGCAUUUAGUUUAAUAUUUUUCUGGUCUUUUGCUCUAUUUCACCUUUUUGAUCUUUCCCGUAUUCUUAUUUCAUCUUUUGUAAUGUAAAUGAUGCAGGAGCAACACCCUUUACUUUUUGUUUGCUUUGUUUUGACUAUAUUUUAUGCAGUCACCUGAACUGUAUACACUUUUUUUCAAUGAGGUUGAGACCUCAAAGGCACCAUUUUGCUAACAGGGUUAGAAUAGAACAGAACAUAAAUAACCGAGGAGGCACGGAUUUUGUUCAUUUGUACGAGAUUUACCCCCGCUCCCAUUCUUAAUUUCAUGUAAUUUUAGAAUUUUAAAGUUGUCUUACUGAACUUUCCAAUCAUUUCGCUAUCUAGUUUGAAGAGCUGGAGAAGUGUAGAUAGUUUUGUACAAACUUGUUUUUAAAUUUCUCAUUAGCAUUUUAUUUUAAUCUACUGGCUAUAAUCUUUGAUGUUUUGUGUUUUGUUAUGGACAGAACAUAAAUAACUGAGGAGGCAUGAAUUUUACUCAUUUAUAUGCGAUCUUACCCUGUUCCCGUUCUUAAUUUCAUGUGAUUUUAGAAUUUGAAAGUUGUCUUACUGAAUUUUCCAAAAAUUUCUCUAUCUGGUUUUGAAGAGCUGGAGAAGUGUACACAAUUUUGUACAAGCUUGUUUUUAAAAUUCUCAUUAGUAUUUUAUUUUCAUCUACUUUCUAGAAUCAUUGAUGUAUUGUGUUUUGUUAUGGGCCAAAAUCUUUACAGAGAGUACAAUAUCUCUGAAUCAUGCAUCUUCUAAUAGCAAAGAUUUUCAAAAUGAAGUUGGAAAAUUGAACUUUGUACCAUCUCUGUCUAUUGGAGUGCUGCAAGAAAUUGGGAGGCGGUGUUGCUCUAAGGUAUUCAUGGUUUCUCCUCAAGUGAGCAUUUAUUUCCUCUGUUUCUACUGAAGUGCAUUUUUAUGUAUUCCUUUUAUUAGGUUGAAUUUAAGUCAAUUGUAAGCACCAGCAAAGAUUUGCAGUUUUCAGUGGAGGUAAGUGAAAGUUGUUCUAUUAAAUAUUAUAUAUGAGUUUUUACAUGUCAUUGUUAACUAUCUUGGAUUAUGUAGUAUGUGAUGUGUUAUCUAAGAUGCAUUACUGAUUGGUGAUUUUUUAAACUGUAAGAAAUUUUUAUGUUGUAAUUUGUAGAUUACUGAUAUCAAGGUCUGUUUUCUAUUUGGCUUUAUCUCACAUAAUUUAGUUUAGAUGCUUUCUUGGUUUUGUACUUAAAGAAACUUAUCAUGAACUGCCUGGCUAUUUAUUGUUCAAUGUCAUUUCCCAGUUCUUCUAUCAUCUAUCAUCAUCUUAAAUGCUAUUGGCUUUGCACUCAAUUUCCUGUGAAGAUGUUAUUGUGGCCUAAUAGUUUGCGCUGCCACUUUUGGUUGCCAUUGCUAUUCAUAUUUGCAUGUUUAUGUGUUUAACCUUUGUGGGCAAAGUUGUUGUCACAUUUUACUCGAGUCUGAAAUAACCUUAGCCUUAGGUCUGGUCUUCUGUUUUAUACUUAUAACCUGUGCUGUAAAUUGUCUGAUGCUUUGUUUUAGGUACUAUUCACUGGUGAGAAAAUAGGCUUUGGUAUGGGUAGGACAAGGAAGGAUGCUCAACAACAAGCUGCCGAGAAUGCCCUUCGCAGCUUAGCAGGUAUGGCAAAUUAUUUUAAGCUGUUCUAAAAUUGUGUUUGUGAUAUUGUUUUGUAGUAAUGAAGAUAAAAUUAAUGGAACUUAGGUUAUAUUUAUAAUUCUUUCAAACAAUUAUGUAUUUAUUAACUGUUGCUGCAUUUGGUGUUGGGACAUUAUUUCUUGUUAUUUAUAAUUUUUUCAUGCAUAGAAUUUUCUUUUUCAUUUUUGGUGGGAGAUAGCAUUUCCAUGGUGACAUGCAUCUGAAUAUGCCCUUGCAGCACUUUGUAUACAUGUAGAUUAUUAUCCUAGUUUCUGUGUCGGGAUUCUAUGAAGUUGUACCUAUUGAAGCAUUUUAAGCUUAACAAAUAAACAUUUUAUAGCGAGUUCAAAUUGAAGAAUAGCCGUGGUUAACUGUAUUUCAGUUUGUUAUUUAUUUAUGCACUAAAUCUUUCUCCGUGAGUAAACCCAAUGUUAUUGUGUAUGUGGAGGUAAAUAUUGUUUUUGUAAUUUGUUGUGUGGGCUUGAGGAAACAUUUCUCUACAUGGUUCAGAUGACUAGUGGAUAUGUGCAUGUUGCUUGCUUGAUGAAAUUAGUUUGUUUUAAUUCAAUUUAUUGUGCUACAUUAAUCUUCUUUUUAGCCUGUUCUUUACUGAACCUAUAUUAAACUGCUAAAUGCAUUUUCGGUGUAUGAAAUACAGAGAAGUAUGUAACACAUAUGGAGCCUCAAUGUAAAGCUGUUGAUAAAGAAUUUGACAAGCUUUCUCUUGAACAUGAAAAUGGUUUCUUGUGGGAUGUGGUCGAUGCGGAGUCCAGUGAACUGCAAAGAGAAGAUGGAUUACCAAGAGAAAGUGCUUCUGAGGUGGGGACUUUUUAUGCUUUUGGUAGUUGAUUUGUGUGACCUGUUUUGAUUAAGGGAAUAGGUGAUGCUUGGAUAAGGGGUAAUGUGGACUAGAUAUUCCAGAUCGUUUAUGGAAUUGUGUAGCAUCAAUGUGAAGACUAAAUUACUGAAUGAGGAGUGAACUCGCUUCACGUCUGCUACUGCUGUCUUAGACAGGCUUCUUAAAUUCCUACUUAAAAGGUAUGGGCUUGGUGUCAGUCCUGAUAAUUUACCCGUUAUCCAAGUACUCCCUUGCAGUCAUUUCAGCCAUAAUGCUGUUGCAUACUUCUUAAUCAUUGUUGCUUAGGAACCUUUUUUUUACUGAGUUUAUGCUCUGGGUUUAAUUAUUCUCAUAACAGUGGUUUGAGGGAGGGGCUAGUCUUGGAAUUUUUACAGAAUCAAAUAAUUGGUACUGCAAGACUCACUUAUAUUGGUCGGUUUUGGAAUAUUUCAUUGUGGUCUGCUGCAUAGAGGACUACUAGGGACAUACUAUGUAACACAUAUUCCAACAUACUCUCUUCCAUUAGUUAAAAAUCAUAUGGGUCCCACUGAAUUUACAUGGGACCCACAUAAUUUGGUAGGAUCCGAAUUAAUUUCAAUAAAUAGAAGAAAGUAUAUUUAGAUGUGUGUUAGAGAGUGUUCCUAGUAUUAUUGUUGUAUAUUCUAUCUUUGGUAAAAGGUUGAUCUACCUUGUGACAAUUCACUGAUUUUCAGGCUCCAGAUGCCGAGACCCGGCCAUUAAAUCCCAAUCCCAUCACUCAGCAAAUGGAUAAACGUGCUAGCUUCCCAAGGUAACAUAAGCUACAUUUAUUUAUCUUGUUUUCUUUAGGGAAAAAAGAGGGUAUUUUUUUUUCUUGUAUAGGGUAAUAAAGGGAGCACACUUGCUUUUAGCUUAGGUUUGAUCUAUCUAGGAUUGACUUUUUGUCCAUAUUUUUGGCCUCACGUUUUAUCUCUCUACAUUCAUGGUUAUUUUCUUCUUGCCAUAGGUAGCAUGACUUUAAAAUUUUAUAUUUCCUAAAUCUUGAUCUAUAUUUUUUUCUAGAAUGGUUCAUUAUGAUCUGUUAGACAAAUGCUACUACAACAGUUUGAGUCCUUGCCUCCAUCCAAAAGGAAAACCAUUGUUCAAUUUUUCCCGUUUUGUUAGACCACUAACUUUAACUAUAGGAGUGAAUGUGAGUAUUACAUAUACAAGGGGUCUGUGCUUAGUUUUCUUAAUUUUAAUUUCAGAACGCAUCAGUCUGUUCAUAGCAAACGAAUGAAGGAAUGAAAAUGCAGCUAGAUGAACAAGAACAACCAUCAUUGCAGCAACCGAAAAAUGUGAUAUUCGUGAGACGACAUUUUGGGGGCAAAAUGUUUUAAUCCAUGUCCUUUGUUCAUGUAAAACCUCUAGCCUAGUGGUUUUAGAUAUACUGAGGGGAUUUCCCCCCUGCUAAUUUAUGUUAUAUCAUAGAGAAGGGCAUUGUUUUUUGCCCGACCAUUUUUCCAUGUUGUCAGGCUAGCCACAUUUUCAAUGUUGUCUGGCUAGCCACAUUUUCAAUGUUGUAUUAGAUCGACUGUGUUGCUUUUCUUUUUCUUUGUAGUUGAUCCAUUACUGAUCUACAACGAUGGUUGAAUUUGUCUUGCUUCUAGGCUGAAGCUCCAUAUUGUAUUGUAGCUUUUGCAGUCACAGGUCAUCCACUGUGAAACCAGCCAAACCAACAUGUUAUUAAUCAGUUUCCUCUGAGUCAGUUGUUAGGAAUAUACUGACAUUGGGAAAAAUUUCAACGGGAUUAUUGUUGUCAAAUUCUGACAUUAUUCAUUUAGGGUUGUUUGGAUCGGUGGUAUGUGAUGAAAUGAAGUGGUAAAUAAAUAUUGUUUAGAUUUGCAUUCUCCAUUUUUUUUAAAAUUUCAUUUGAUUUGGAGUGUAUGCAAUAGAAUGAAACAUUAUUAAUGAAAUACCCAAAUAAUAGAGGGAAAUUUAUAUACCCAAAUAAUAGAGGGAAAUUUAU
RNAcentral lists this long non-coding RNA (8940 nucleotides) under Lathyrus oleraceus (garden pea). RNAcentral describes it as "Pisum sativum (pea) long non-coding RNA (PSAT_LNC010760)". The record is from RNAcentral. Lineage: Eukaryota; Viridiplantae; Streptophyta; Magnoliopsida; Fabales; Fabaceae.